RNAcentral lists this ribosomal RNA (1675 nucleotides) under Escherichia coli. RNAcentral describes it as "bacterial LSU rRNA". It matches the Rfam family "Bacterial large subunit ribosomal RNA", at positions 1270 to 2925 of the family's 2925-position model. Lineage: Bacteria; Pseudomonadati; Pseudomonadota; Gammaproteobacteria; Enterobacterales; Enterobacteriaceae. The record is from RNAcentral.
AUGCUGGAGGUAUCAGAAGUGCGAAUGCUGACAUAAGUAACGAUAAAGCGGGUGAAAAGCCCGCUCGCCGGAAGACCAAGGGUUCCUGUCCAACGUUAAUCGGGGCAGGGUGAGUCGACCCCUAAGGCGAGGCCGAAAGGCGUAGUCGAUGGGAAACAGGUUAAUAUUCCUGUACUUGGUGUUACUGCGAAGGGGGGACGGAGAAGGCUAUGUUGGCCGGGCGACGGUUGUCCCGGUUUAAGCGUGUAGGCUGGUUUUCCAGGCAAAUCCGGAAAAUCAAGGCUGAGGCGUGAUGACGAGGCACUACGGUGCUGAAGCAACAAAUGCCCUGCUUCCAGGAAAAGCCUCUAAGCAUCAGGUAACAUCAAAUCGUACCCCAAACCGACACAGGUGGUCAGGUAGAGAAUACCAAGGCGCUUGAGAGAACUCGGGUGAAGGAACUAGGCAAAAUGGUGCCGUAACUUCGGGAGAAGGCACGCUGAUAUGUAGGUGAAGUCCCUCGCGGAUGGAGCUGAAAUCAGUCGAAGAUACCAGCUGGCUGCAACUGUUUAUUAAAAACACAGCACUGUGCAAACACGAAAGUGGACGUAUACGGUGUGACGCCUGCCCGGUGCCGGAAGGUUAAUUGAUGGGGUUAGCGCAAGCGAAGCUCUUGAUCGAAGCCCCGGUAAACGGCGGCCGUAACUAUAACGGUCCUAAGGUAGCGAAAUUCCUUGUCGGGUAAGUUCCGACCUGCACGAAUGGCGUAAUGAUGGCCAGGCUGUCUCCACCCGAGACUCAGUGAAAUUGAACUCGCUGUGAAGAUGCAGUGUACCCGCGGCAAGACGGAAAGACCCCGUGAACCUUUACUAUAGCUUGACACUGAACAUUGAGCCUUGAUGUGUAGGAUAGGUGGGAGGCUUUGAAGUGUGGACGCCAGUCUGCAUGGAGCCGACCUUGAAAUACCACCCUUUAAUGUUUGAUGUUCUAACGUUGACCCGUAAUCCGGGUUGCGGACAGUGUCUGGUGGGUAGUUUGACUGGGGCGGUCUCCUCCUAAAGAGUAACGGAGGAGCACGAAGGUUGGCUAAUCCUGGUCGGACAUCAGGAGGUUAGUGCAAUGGCAUAAGCCAGCUUGACUGCGAGCGUGACGGCGCGAGCAGGUGCGAAAGCAGGUCAUAGUGAUCCGGUGGUUCUGAAUGGAAGGGCCAUCGCUCAACGGAUAAAAGGUACUCCGGGGAUAACAGGCUGAUACCGCCCAAGAGUUCAUAUCGACGGCGGUGUUUGGCACCUCGAUGUCGGCUCAUCACAUCCUGGGGCUGAAGUAGGUCCCAAGGGUAUGGCUGUUCGCCAUUUAAAGUGGUACGCGAGCUGGGUUUAGAACGUCGUGAGACAGUUCGGUCCCUAUCUGCCGUGGGCGCUGGAGAAUUGAGGGGGGCUGCUCCUAGUACGAGAGGACCGGAGUGGACGCAUCACUGGUGUUCGGGUUGUCAUGCCAAUGGCACUGCCCGGUAGCUAAAUGCGGAAGAGAUAAGUGCUGAAAGCAUCUAAGCACGAAACUUGCCCCGAGAUGAGUUCUCCCUGACUCCUUGAGAGUCCUGAAGGAACGUUGAAGACGACGACGUUGAUAGGCCGGGUGUGUAAGCGCAGCGAUGCGUUGAGCUAACCGGUACUAAUGAACCGUGAGGCUUAACCUU